This 454-nucleotide ribosomal RNA is filed under the name uncultured bacterium. RNAcentral describes it as "bacterial SSU rRNA". It matches the Rfam family "Bacterial small subunit ribosomal RNA", at positions 46 to 525 of the family's 1533-position model. The record is from RNAcentral.
GGAUUAGGCAUGCAAGUCGAACGGGCCAGCAAUGGCCAGUGGCGAAAGGGAGAGGAAUACGUAGGUAUCUGCCUCCGGGUCGAGGAUAGCCACGGGAAACUGUGGGUAAUACUCGAUAACGUCUCCGGACCAAAGGUGUAAUUCCACCUGGAGAGGAGCCUGCGUCCUAUUAGCUUGUUGGCGGGGUAAUGGCCCACCAAGGCUACGAUGGGUACGGGGUGUGAGAGCAUGCCCCCGCUCACUGGGACUGAGACACUGCCCAGACACCUACGGGUGGCUGCAGUCGAGAAUCUUCCGCAAUGGGCGCAAGCCUGACGGAGCGACGCCGCGUGUGGGAUGAAGGCCUUCGGGUUGUAAACCACUGUCGUAGAGGAGGAAGGAUCGGUGUAGAGCCGAUUUUGACCUAUUCUAGGAGGAAGGGUGGGCUAAGUUCGUGCCAGCAGCCGCGGUAAUA